UUUUAGUUAGGUUGGUUAUCAGAUGUAAGAAGCUGAAAGAUGUAGAUUCAAUCUUAAUUUAUUUGGCAUUAUUGCUAUCGUAAUAAGCACGUUUAAACGUAUCUUUUGCUGAAAAUGGUGGGGGAAUACACCUAUGAUUACCUAAAUUUCCAUCACCUUAUGUAUUGGACGGUCACCCUUGGACAUUUGAUAAACACUUAUUUCUAUUCCAAGACUAUAAUGGUGAUCUUAGGCCAAUUGAUGAUACUUUAAUGCUUCCUUUUGGGUGAGGGUUUAUGGGAUGCCGCUGAAAUGGCUGACAAAAGAUAUGCACAUCGGAGCUUUUGAGAUAUCUAUGGGUGGCUAAACGAGGUUAGUUGCGCAUACAAGUGGAAAUUUAAGUCCCCAAACUGCUACUUUGGUGAAGGGGAUGAUCAAAUACAAGCAUCUCCCGAUCUUUUGUUAUUGUUGUGGAAUACUCGGACAUGCAGAAACGAAGGGCUAGUUCUUGUUGACAAGAUAAUACUACUUUUAAAAAAUGUCGUCGAAAAGUAUUGGAAAAAAGCGUGAUUUAUUAAUUUUUAGUGUUUGUUGUUGUAAAAAUGUGUGGUUUAAGGUUAAAAUAUAUUGUUUGGACAUGAUAAUGAAAAGUUAAAAAUUAAGUAAGUUGUCGAUUAAGUCUUAACUCGAUUGGCAUUAGCAUUCUUGUCAGUGCAGGAAAAUGUGAAUUCGAGUGCACUGAAACGCAUUAUCCUUCUAUUUAAAGGUUGGGGAGGGGUUAUGGGUAGUUCUAACCAUUGUAUCAAGA
Molecule: long non-coding RNA, 787 nt
Filed under: Gossypium raimondii (Peruvian cotton)
Lineage: Eukaryota; Viridiplantae; Streptophyta; Magnoliopsida; Malvales; Malvaceae
Description: long non-coding RNA (GRAI_LNC005900)
Source: RNAcentral